Molecule: ribosomal RNA, 432 nt
Filed under: uncultured bacterium
Lineage: Bacteria
Description: partial 16S ribosomal RNA
Rfam family: Bacterial small subunit ribosomal RNA
Source: RNAcentral
GCGAACGCUGGCGGCAGGCCUAACACAUGCAAGUCGAACGAACUCUUCGGAGUUAGUGGCGGACGGGUGAGUAACACGUGGGAACGUGCCUUUUGGUUCGGAAUAACUCAGGGAAACUUGUGCUAAUACCGAAUGUGCCCUUCGGGGGAAAGAUUUAUCGCCAUUAGAGCGGCCCGCGUCUGAUUAGCUAGUUGGUGAGGUAACGGCUCACCAAGGCGACGAUCAGUAGCUGGUCUGAGAGGAUGACCAGCCACACUGGGACUGAGACGCGGCCCAGACUCCUACGGGAGGCAGCAGUGGGGAAUCUUGCGCAAUGGGCGAAAGCCUGACGCAGCCAUGCCGCGUGAAUGAUGAAGGUCUUAGGAUUGUAAAAUUCUUUCACCGGGGACGAUAAUGACGGUACCCGGAGAAGAAGCCCCGGCUAACUUCGUG